UACGUAGGGUGCGAGCGUUGUCCGGAAUUAUUGGGCGUAAAGGGCUCGUAGGCGGUUUGUCACGUCAGGAGUGAAAACUCGGGGCUCAACCCCGAGCCUGCUUCUGAUACGGGCAGACUAGAGGUAUGCAGGGGAGAACGGAAUUCCUGGUGUAGCGGUGAAAUGCGCAGAUAUCAGGAGGAACACCGGUGGCGAAGGCGGUUCUCUGGGCAUUACCUGACGCUGAGGAGCGAAAGUGUGGGGAGCGAACAGG
RNAcentral lists this ribosomal RNA (253 nucleotides) under uncultured bacterium. Its description in RNAcentral is "partial 16S ribosomal RNA". It matches the Rfam family "Bacterial small subunit ribosomal RNA", at positions 524 to 776 of the family's 1533-position model. The record is from RNAcentral.